CUGCUUCUAUUUCAGCCUUCUUUCUUGGACAGUAUGUGGGAACUGUAGCCACACAGAAAACUUGCAGGCUUUGCUUGGACAUACAUACCAGAUAUAGACCCACUCCUGCAGAUCUGUCUCCAUGAAUCCUCAUUUUUUUCAAGAUUGAAAUAUCUGAGGACCCUUCUGCUCUCAGGUAAAAUUUUCACUGGGUUUGUGCUUCCCAUGCCUCUGUGA
This 216-nucleotide long non-coding RNA is filed under the name Manacus vitellinus (golden-collared manakin). Its description in RNAcentral is "lncRNA (ENSMVIG00005012461.1)". Lineage: Eukaryota; Metazoa; Chordata; Aves; Passeriformes; Pipridae. The record is from RNAcentral.